CUCGAUUCUCUGUGUUACAUUUUAUUCAAUUGUGUUACGUUUAUCAAUUAGAUAGCUUUAUCCUAUUCCCAUUUUACGGGUUCUUCAUCUUCAGGCUUAUUUUUAUCUUUAAAGAUGAUCUGGGCUGAAUUAGAUGGAUUUAAGCUAUCUCUGAAGUUAUCAUGUUUGUGAUACAAGUGGAUUCAAGCUUUGAGUCGAU
RNAcentral lists this long non-coding RNA (199 nucleotides) under Brassica napus (rape). RNAcentral describes it as "long non-coding RNA (BNAP_LNC013853)". The record is from RNAcentral. Lineage: Eukaryota; Viridiplantae; Streptophyta; Magnoliopsida; Brassicales; Brassicaceae.